This 76-nucleotide transfer RNA is filed under the name Clostridium sp. CAG:288. Its description in RNAcentral is "transfer RNA-Thr(TGT)". It matches the Rfam family "tRNA". From Rfam's summary of the family: Transfer RNA (tRNA) molecules are approximately 80 nucleotides in length. Their secondary structure includes four short double-helical elements and three loops (D, anti-codon, and T loops). RNAcentral also lists the same sequence under 1 other name. Lineage: Bacteria; Bacillati; Bacillota; Clostridia; Eubacteriales; Clostridiaceae. The record is from RNAcentral.
GCCGCUUUAGCUCAACUGGCAGAGCAACUGAUUUGUAAUCAGUAGGUUGAAGGUUCGAUUCCUUUAGGCGGCACCA